CGUAAUUGGAGGGGAAGUCUGGUGCCAGCAGCCGCGGUAAUUCCAGCUCCAAUAGCGUAUAUUAAAGUUGUUGCAGUUAAAAAGCUCGUAGUUGAACUUCAGACCUGGCUGGGCGGUCCGCCUAACGGUGUGUACUGUCUGGCUGGGUCUUACCUCUUGGUGAGCCGGCAUGCCCUUCACUGGGUGUGUGGGGGAACCAGGACUUUUACCUUGAAAAAAUUAGAGUGUUCAAAGCAGGCCUGCGCCUGAAUACAUUAGCAUGGAAUAAUAAAAUAGGACGUGCGGUUCUAUUUUGUUGUUUUCUAGAGUCGCCGUAAUGAUUAAUAGGGAUAGUUGGGGGCAUUAGUAUUCCGUGCUAGAGGUGAAAUUCUUGGAUUUACUUAUGACUAACUAGUGCGUAGCUCGGGCCCUAGAAGUUUUCUUUGACCAAGGAACGGUAGAGCUGGGAUGGCAGCCGCAUGCUAUUCAUAGACAUCAUUGC
This 481-nucleotide ribosomal RNA is filed under the name uncultured Trametes. Its description in RNAcentral is "bacterial SSU rRNA". It matches the Rfam family "Eukaryotic small subunit ribosomal RNA", at positions 539 to 1021 of the family's 1831-position model. The record is from RNAcentral. Lineage: Eukaryota; Fungi; Basidiomycota; Agaricomycetes; Polyporales; Polyporaceae.